Molecule: ribosomal RNA, 194 nt
Filed under: Candidatus Cloacimonetes bacterium HGW-Cloacimonetes-2
Lineage: Bacteria; Pseudomonadati; Candidatus Cloacimonadota
Description: partial 16S ribosomal RNA
Rfam family: Bacterial small subunit ribosomal RNA
Source: RNAcentral
CAUAAUUUAAUGAUGGAGAGUUUGAUCCUGGCUCAGGACGAACGCUGGCGGCGUGGAUUAGGCAUGCAAGUCGAACGGUAGAGUUCCUUCGGGAGCUUGAGAGUGGCGAACGGGUGAGUAACGCGUAGGUUAUCUACCCUCAAAUUGGGGACAACCCAGGGAAACUUGGGCUAAUACCGAAUGAGAGCAUCUGU